GAAUGUGCCCAAUCUCGUCAGACCUUGGAAGCUAAGC
RNAcentral lists this ribosomal RNA (37 nucleotides) under Petromyzon marinus (sea lamprey). Lineage: Eukaryota; Metazoa; Chordata; Hyperoartia; Petromyzontiformes; Petromyzontidae. The record is from RNAcentral.